RNAcentral lists this ribosomal RNA (547 nucleotides) under Aglae caerulea. Its description in RNAcentral is "partial 16S ribosomal RNA". The stretch from base 402 to 547 matches the Rfam family "Bacterial large subunit ribosomal RNA", at positions 2473 to 2619 of the family's 2925-position model. The record is from RNAcentral. Lineage: Eukaryota; Metazoa; Arthropoda; Insecta; Hymenoptera; Apidae.
AACAACAUGUCUUAUAGAAUUUAAUUUUAAGUCUAAAAUCUGCUCAAUGAAUUAAUUUUACAAUAGCUGCAGCAUAAUUAACUGUACAAAGGUAGCAUAAUAAAUUGUCUUUUAAUUAAAGAAUGGAAUGAAAGAAUUAAUGAAAUAUAUACUGUCUCUAUUAUAUAUUAUGAAAUUAAAUUUUUAGUUAAAAUGCUAAAAUUUAAUUAUGGGACGAUAAGACCCUAUAGAAUUUUAUUUUAAAUUAUUAUAAUUGUAAUUUUUAUUAAUAUAAUUAUAAUAAUUUAAAAUUUAAUUGGGAGGAUUAAUAAUUAAAUAAACUUUAUUUAUAAAAAAACUUUGAUUUAAGAAUAAUAAAAUUUGAUAUAAUAUUAUUAAUUAUAAGAAUAAAUUACCUUAGGGAUAACAGCGUAAUAUUUUUUAAAAGAUCAUAUUAAUAAAAAUGUUUGCGACCUCGAUGUUGAAUUAAGAUAAAUUUUAAAUGGAGAAAUUUAAAAAUUAAGUCUGUUCGACUUUUAAAAUCUUACAUGAUUUGAGUUCAGAUCGA